UCGGGAAUUUUGGGCAAUGGGCGAAAGCCUGACCCAGCAACGCCGCGUGAAGGAUGAAGUAUUUCGGUAUGUAAACUUCGAAAGAAUAGGAAGAAUAAAUGACGGUACUAUUUAUAAGGUCCGGCUAACUACGUGCCAGCAGCCGCGGUAAUACGUAGGGACCAAGCGUUGUUCGGAUUUACUGGGCGUAAAGGGCGCGUAGGCGGCAAUUCAAGUCAUCUGUGAAAUCUCCGGGCAUAACUCGGAACGGUCAGAUGAUACUGCUUUGCUAGAGUGCAGAAGGGGCAAUCGGAAUUCUUGGUGUAGCGGUGAAAUGCGUAGAUAUCAAGAGGAACACCUGAGGUGAAGACGGGUUGCUGGGCUGACACUGACGCUGAGGCGCGAAAGCCAGGGGAGCAAACGGGAUUAGAUACCCCCGUAGUCCCUGAGCGGGCUGGCAAGGCGCAU
RNAcentral lists this ribosomal RNA (447 nucleotides) under uncultured bacterium. Its description in RNAcentral is "bacterial SSU rRNA". It matches the Rfam family "Bacterial small subunit ribosomal RNA", at positions 355 to 825 of the family's 1533-position model. The record is from RNAcentral.